CUGCUGGCCGAGGUUCGGGUGGUGUGGAGCGGCCCUUUGCCCGGGCUCAGGGGUCACGCCGCCCACCCUCUGCCCCCAG
Molecule: microRNA precursor, 79 nt
Organism: Bos grunniens (domestic yak)
Lineage: Eukaryota; Metazoa; Chordata; Mammalia; Artiodactyla; Bovidae
Source: Ensembl